Molecule: ribosomal RNA, 406 nt
Filed under: uncultured bacterium
Lineage: Bacteria
Description: partial 16S ribosomal RNA
Rfam family: Bacterial small subunit ribosomal RNA
Source: RNAcentral
GACGAACGCUGGCGGCGGGCCUAACACAUGCAAGUCGAACGAGUGGCGGACGGGUGAGUACUGUCUGGGCAACUGCCUGAUGGAGGGGGAUAACUACUGGAAACGGUAGCUGAUACCGCAUAGCAUCAGCUAUGCCCAGAUGGGAUUAGCUUGUGUGUGGGGUAACGGCUUACCAAGGCGACGAUCCCUAGCUGGUCUGAGAGGAUGACCAGCCACACUGGAACUGAGACACGGUCCAGACUCCUACGGGAGGCAGCAGUGGGGAAUAUUGCACAAUGGGCGCAAGCCUGAUGCAGCCAUGCCGCGUGUAUGAAGAAGGCCUUCGGGUUGUAAAGUACUUUUAGCGGGGAGGCGGUACCCGCAGAAGAAGCACCGGCUAACUACGUGCCAGCAGCCGCGGUAAUAC